Molecule: ribosomal RNA, 253 nt
Filed under: uncultured bacterium
Lineage: Bacteria
Description: partial 16S ribosomal RNA
Rfam family: Bacterial small subunit ribosomal RNA
Source: RNAcentral
UACGUAGGGCGCAAGCGUUGUUCGGAAUUACUGGGCGUAAAGGGCGCGUAGGCGGUCUGUCGCGUCUGCUGUGAAAACUCGGGGCUUAACCCCGGGCCUGCAGUGGGUACGGGCAGACUAGAGUGCGGUAGGGGAGACUGGAAUUCCUGGUGUAGCGGUGAAAUGCGCAGAUAUCAGGAGGAACACCGGUGGCGAAGGCGGGUCUCUGGGCCGUAACUGACGCUGAGGAGCGAAAGCAUGGGGAGCGAACAGG